Molecule: ribosomal RNA, 512 nt
Filed under: uncultured bacterium
Lineage: Bacteria
Description: partial 16S ribosomal RNA
Rfam family: Bacterial small subunit ribosomal RNA
Source: RNAcentral
GAUGAACGCUGGCGGCAUGCCUAAUACAUGCAAGUCGAACGAGAGGAAGGAAAGCUUGCUUUUCUGAAUCUAGUGGCGAACGGGUGAGUAACACGUAGGUAACCUGCCCAUGUGCCCGGGAUAACUUCUGGAAACGGAUGCUAAAACCGGAUAGGUAGCAGACAAGCAUUUGACUGCUAUUAAAGUGGCUAAGGCCAUGAACAUGGAUGGACCUGCGGUGCAUUAGCUAGUUGGUGAGGUAACGGCCCACCAAGGCGACGAUGCAUAGCCGGCCUGAGAGGGCGGACGGCCACAUUGGGACUGAGACACGGCCCAAACUCCUACGGGAGGCAGCAGUAGGGAAUUUUCGUCAAUGGGGGGAACCCUGAACGAGCAAUGCCGCGUGAGUGAGGAAGGUCUUCGGAUCGUAAAGCUCUGUUGUAAGAGAAAAACGACAUUCCUCUGGAAUGAUGAGUGAGUGAUGGUAUCUUACCAGAAAGUCACGGCUAACUACGUGCCAGCAGCCGCGGUAA